RNAcentral lists this ribosomal RNA (253 nucleotides) under uncultured bacterium. Its description in RNAcentral is "partial 16S ribosomal RNA". It matches the Rfam family "Bacterial small subunit ribosomal RNA", at positions 524 to 776 of the family's 1533-position model. The record is from RNAcentral.
UACGAAGGGUGCAAACGUUGCUCGGAAUUAUUGGGCGUAAAGAGCGUGUAGGCGGCCUGAAAGGUCAGCUGUGAAAACUCGAGGCUCAACCUCGAGACGUCGGUUGAAACCAUCUGGCUAGAGUCCGGAAGAGGAGUGUGGAAUUCCCGGUGUAGCGGUGAAAUGCGCAGAUAUCGGGAAGAACACCCGUGGCGAAGGCGGCACUCUGGGACGGUACUGACGCUGAGACGCGAAAGCGUGGGGAGCGAACAGG